AUGGCGGAGCACUGCCGCACUUCCGGCACGGCGACGGAGAUUUGUCGUACUUCCGGCGGAGGAAUGGCAGAUCCCUGCCUAACUUCCGGCGUGGCAAUGGCAGAACCCUGUCCGACUUCCGGCGCGGCAAUGGCGGAUCCCUGCCCAACUUCCGGCGCUGCAAUGGCGGACCCCGGGCCGCUCCCCGGCAGAACCCCGACCCCCAACAACGGCGGCGGCGGCGGCACAACGGCGGCCCCGUCGGCCACGCAGGCGGGCGGGGUGGCGAAGCACGGCCCCAGAUCCGCCACCACGGCCUCGCAGACGUCGCGGAGGAUCUUACAGACGGUCGAGCGGGAGACGCCGAAGCGGAGCUCCACCGCCCGGUAUUCGCUGCCCGCCCCCAGCCGCCACAGCGUCAGCGCCAGGCGGACCUCGGCCGGGACGGCGCGCCGCAUGCUCGUGUCCCGCCGCUGGAUGGCGGCCCGGAGGCGGCCGCAGAGGAAAUCGAAGGUGGCCGGCGCCACGCGGAAGUUGUCGGUCCACUCGCGGCGGCUGAACGCCUUGUCGCGCACCGUCUCCCAGAAGGCGCAGCUCCGCCGUUUGCUCCACAGCCGCGGGGACGGAGGAGGGAGCGCCGCCGCGCGGAGGCCGCAGCGGGCGCUGAGCCACGCCAGGAGGAAACGGCGGCGCCGGAGGCGGCGGAGGACGGAGCGGAGGCGGCGGAGGGUGCGGAGGAGGCGGAGGCGGCGGAGGCGGAUGGAGGACAGGGCGCAAAGGGCGGCGGCGCCGCCGCUGAGGGCGGAGAGGAGCGCGGGGGCCGCCAUCUUGGCAGGGCGGCGCGGAGCAGCGCGCAUGCGCGAGAAAUGGUCGGGACUCGGCGCGCAUGCGCGGCGAUGCGGGGUUGAAGAUGUGCGCAUGCGGCAGGUUUGGCCCAAUCACGGUUUGCCGUACAACGCAUGCGCAGCGAGGCGUCGUUCUGUUUGGCGAGAAGUGCGCAUGCGUGAGUGGGCGGAGCUAAAUGAAAAGGCGGCAAAUCGGGGCCAAUCAGAGUGCGGCUUAUUUUGGCGCAUGCGUAUUGCGACAUUUACGUCUCAGUUGAAAGACUGCGCAUGCGCGCUGUGGGUGGGACUAACUAAAAAACGCAGAGCAGCUCAGCCAAUCAGAACACAGUGA
This 1155-nucleotide long non-coding RNA is filed under the name Phasianus colchicus (ring-necked pheasant). Its description in RNAcentral is "lncRNA (ENSPCLG00000017215.1)". The record is from RNAcentral. Lineage: Eukaryota; Metazoa; Chordata; Aves; Galliformes; Phasianidae.